CCUACGGGUGGCUGCAGUGGGGAAUAUUGGACAAUGGGGGCAACCCUGAUCCAGCCAUGCCGCGUGUGUGAAGAAGGCCCUCGGGUUGUAAAGCACUUUCAGUGAGGAAGAACGCCUGGUGGUUAAUACCCAUCAGGAAAGACAUCACUCACAGAAGAAGCACCGGCUAACUCCGUGCCAGCAGCCGCGGUAAUACGGAGGGUGCGAGCGUUAAUCGGAAUUACUGGGCGUAAAGCGCGCGUAUGUGGCUUGAUAAGCCGGUUGUGAAAGCCCCGGGCUCAACCUGGGAACGGCAUCCGGAACUGUCAAGCUAGAGUGCAGGAGAGGAAGGUAGAAUUCCCGGUGUAGCGGUGAAAUGCGUAGAGAUCGGGAGGAAUACCAGUGGCGAAGGCGGCCUUCUGGACUGACACUGACACUGAGGUGCGAAAGCGUGGGUAGCAAACAGGAUUAGAUACCCUUGUAGUC
RNAcentral lists this ribosomal RNA (465 nucleotides) under Vreelandella stevensii. RNAcentral's name for it is "partial 16S ribosomal RNA". It matches the Rfam family "Bacterial small subunit ribosomal RNA", at positions 338 to 795 of the family's 1533-position model. Lineage: Bacteria; Pseudomonadati; Pseudomonadota; Gammaproteobacteria; Oceanospirillales; Halomonadaceae. The record is from RNAcentral.